This 348-nucleotide unclassified non-coding RNA is filed under the name soil metagenome. RNAcentral describes it as "partial contains 5.8S ribosomal RNA, internal transcribed spacer 2, and large subunit ribosomal RNA". The stretch from base 1 to 120 matches the Rfam family "5.8S ribosomal RNA", at positions 35 to 154 of the family's 154-position model. The record is from RNAcentral.
GAUGAAGAACGUAGCAAAAUGCGAUAAGUAAUGUGAAUUGCAGAAUUCAGUGAAUCAUCGAAUCUUUGAACGCACAUUGCGCCCGCUGGUAUUCCGGCGGGCAUGCCUGUUCGAGCGUCAUUUCAACCCUCAAGCCCCCGGGUUUGGUGUUGGGGAUCGGCUCUGCCCUUCUGGGCGGUGCCGCCCCCGAAAUACAUUGGCGGUCUCGCUGCAGCCUCCAUUGCGUAGUAGCUAACACCUCGCAACUGGAACGCGGCGCGGCCAUGCCGUAAAACCCCAACUUCUGAAUGUUGACCUCGGAUAAGGUAGGAAUACCCGCUGAACUUAAGCAUAUCAAUAAGCGGAGGA